GAUGAACGCUGGCGGCGUGCCUAAUACAUGCAAGUCGAGCGAACAGACGAGGAGCUUGCUCCUCUGACGUUAGCGGCGGACGGGUGAGUAACACGUGGAUAACCUACCUAUAAGACUGGGAUAACUUCGGGAAACCGGAGCUAAUACCGGAUAAUAUAUUGAACCGCAUGGUUCAAUAGUGAAAGACGGUUUUGCUGUCACUUAUAGAUGGAUCCGCGCCGCAUUAGCUAGUUGGUAAGGUAACGGCUUACCAAGGCAACGAUGCGUAGCCGACCUGAGAGGGGGACCGGCCCCCCUGGAACGAAACCACGUUCCGGCCCCCUACGGAGGGCAGGAGGAGGGAAUCUUCCCGAGUGGGCGAAAGCCGGACGGAGCAACGCCGGUUGAGUGAAGGAGGUCUGCGGUUCGUAAAACUCUUUUUUUUGGAAAGAACAAAUGGUGAAGUAACUUUCCCCGUUUGGACGUACCCAAUGCAAAAGGCCCCGCUAAAUUCCGG
This 496-nucleotide ribosomal RNA is filed under the name uncultured bacterium. RNAcentral describes it as "partial 16S ribosomal RNA". It matches the Rfam family "Bacterial small subunit ribosomal RNA", at positions 28 to 506 of the family's 1533-position model. The record is from RNAcentral.